GAUCAUGCUCAGGACGAACGCUGGCGGCGUGCUUAACACAUGCAAGUCGAACGAAGAGCGAUGGAAGCUUGCUUCUAUCAAUCUUAGUGGCGAACGGGUGAGUAACGCGUAAUCAACCUGCCCUUCAGAGGGGGACAACAGUUGGAAACGACUGCUAAUACCGCAUACGAUCCAAUCUCGGCAUCGAGACUGGAUGAAAGUUGGCCUCUAUUUAUAAGCUAUCACUGAAGGG
RNAcentral lists this ribosomal RNA (232 nucleotides) under uncultured bacterium. RNAcentral's name for it is "partial 16S ribosomal RNA". It matches the Rfam family "Bacterial small subunit ribosomal RNA", at positions 15 to 225 of the family's 1533-position model. The record is from RNAcentral.